Molecule: ribosomal RNA, 270 nt
Filed under: uncultured bacterium
Lineage: Bacteria
Description: partial 16S ribosomal RNA
Rfam family: Bacterial small subunit ribosomal RNA
Source: RNAcentral
CCGGCGACCGGCGCACGGGUGAGUAACACGUAUGCAACCUGGCCGUGACAGAUGGAUAACUGGGAGAAAUCCCGCCUAAUACAACAUAAUGCCGGGAGGGGACAUCCCCUGCCGGUCAAAGGGGGCGACCCCGGUCACGGAUGGGCAUGCGGCGCAUUAGGUAGUUGGUGGGGCAACGGCCCACCAAGCCGACGAUGCGUAGGGGUUCUGAGAGGAAGGUCCCCCACAUUGGAACUGAGACACGGUCCAAACUCCUACGGGAGGCAGCAG